ACAAGUUGGGAGUCACGGCAUUUCUGUUUGUUGAAAGCUAGUUAAUCUUAGAUGCUGUUUGUCAAGAAAAAUUAUGGGAAGAGUAGACACUGAACUAAUGUGACUCUUUCGAUGAACUGAACACAUGGGGAAGCUGAUAUUACUUGAGAUCUCUUGGAAUAGUUGUUGGGUGUAUCUAGAUUCAUGAACACCCUGGAAUUGAAUUAAAUGGUUGCAUUUCUU
RNAcentral lists this long non-coding RNA (222 nucleotides) under Eucalyptus grandis. Its description in RNAcentral is "long non-coding RNA (EGRA_LNC004998)". Lineage: Eukaryota; Viridiplantae; Streptophyta; Magnoliopsida; Myrtales; Myrtaceae. The record is from RNAcentral.